Molecule: RNA transcript, 2283 nt
Organism: Salvelinus namaycush (lake trout)
Lineage: Eukaryota; Metazoa; Chordata; Actinopteri; Salmoniformes; Salmonidae
Gene name: AH receptor-interacting protein-like
Exons: 7
Source: RefSeq, a predicted model, not a curated record
GAGCUCUCCCGAAGAUAGGCAGUCGGCUUGACACUCGGGGGAAGCAAGGAUGGAGGAACUGGCUACCAAGCUACUCGCAGAAGGCAUUCAGAAGAAAGUGGUCAGUCCAGGCAAAGGAGAGCUGUCAACGUUUCCUGAUGGGACCAAGGUGAUAUUCCACUACCGUUCCAGCCUGUGUGAUGGCACGGUGCUGGAUGACUCCAGGACCAUGGGGGGCCGGAGCAAGCCCAUGGAACUUAUCUUGGGAAAGAAGUUCAAGCUGGCCGUGUGGGAGCGAGUCAUUGCCACCAUGAGGGAGGGAGAAGUGGCAGAUUUCACAUGUGACGUCAAGCACACAGCCCUGUACCCGCUGGUGUCCCAGUCCCUGAGGAACAUCAGUGCAGGGAAGGACCCCCUGGAGGGCCAGAGACACUGCUGUGGCAUUGCUCAGAUCCACUCACACCACUCCCUGGGCCACUGUGACCUGGACCAGCUCCAGGCCAACCCUCAGCCCCUGGUCUUCACCCUGGAGCUCAUGGAGGUUUUAACGCCCGGCUCGUUCAGACUGGACAUCUGGGCGAUGACGGACGAGGAGAAGCUGGAGGUGGUGCCUCAGAUCCACGUGGAGGGUAACGCCCUCUACAAGAAGGGCGACGUGAAGGAAGCGGCCGAGAAGUACCACAAUGCCAUCGCCUGUCUAAAGAAUCUGCAGAUGAAGGAGCGUCCAGGCGACGAGUGCUGGAUCAAGCUGGACCUCAUGAUCACGCCCCUGAUGCUGAACUACUGCCAGUGUCAGCUGGUCCAGGGUCAGUACUACGAGGUGCUGGACCACUGCUCCUCCAUCAUCUCCAAAUACGAGGACAGACAUGAAGGCCUACUUCAAGCGGGCCAAGGCCCACGCGGCAGUGUGGAACGAGACGGAGGCGCGGGCCGAUUUUGCCAAGGUGGUGGAGCUGGACCCGUCGCUGGGGCCCUCGGUGGCUAAAGAGCUGAGGGCCAUGGAGGAGAGGAUCCGCUCCAAGGAGAAGGAGGAGAAGGGCCGCUACAAGAGUCUGUUCAGCUACGACAGCAACGCCACCGCUACCACGGGCUGAAUUAAGAAGACCAUUAUUCUUGUUAUAAAGAAGAGGAGGAGCAGUUGAGGACACAUUGACAUGUUUAGUUUUAUCCACACACCAAAGCCAUAUUCACUUUCCCCAUGAAACAUCACUUUCGCAGUGCACAUGGCACAUUCUCUUUCUAGAUUCAAUUUGAUCUUUUAUAGAAAGACAUUACACACCCACACACACAUCUACCCUCAACACCAACAGACUUUCAAAGUUCAGCUUUCCCCUACCGCAAACAGCCAGUUACAUCACACACACAUGCUGCAAAAGUACAGGAAUACGCAGGAGAUCCUCCACUUCUGGCAGUAUGACUGGGACAUCAACUUCGGAGACAAUCACAAGAUAUAUAUUUAUGGACACUAGAGCAGUCUCCACCAUUUCCCUCUUGUUCACCCCUUACUUAUCCCUAUUAAUGUUUAUAUGUUUAUAUCCCUAUUAAUGACUAUUCAAUGUAUGUACUCUUAUCUUCACUUGUAUCUAUGUUAGUAUUACAUUUCAUUUGCUAAUUUGUCUUUGUGGUCCUGUAUAUUUUAAGCUAGAACAUUUGUAAUGGACUCUUUUGCCCUCAACUCAAACACCACCCCACUUGCCUUUUGGUCAGUCGAACAGAGCUAAUGAUUUGCUAAGUCAUUGGCUUCAGUGAGUGUAGUUUAGGAUAGUGGCCAUCAUUUUGGCCCCUAGCUCCUUCCCGGUCUGUGUUCAACAAACUGAAAGGACUGGAUAGGGGAAGGCAAUAUUGUGAAGGCUCCACUUUAGUCUAUUGGAGGCCUGGAAGGAGUAGUCACUGAAGGGCUCCAGAUGGUAAUGGAACUGGGGUGAUGACUCACUGGCAAGCAUCAAGUAAAAGGUCAAGAUAGCAUUUUUUGUAGGGUCCAUUUUCAUAGGUUUGCACAUCAAACGACUGACAUCUCAUCAUACCAGCAUUUAGCUCAUUUGUCCCUUGUAUUUUGUGAAAAUGUUAUCUAAAGGGUCACCAUGACUUGACUCAAGUGUCAGUUGUAUGACAUGGGUGUUAUCUAGCCUGGUUAAAAAGCAGAGUAAACACUACACUCAACAUUGUUUUCAUUGGUAAGCAGUGUUCAACCUGGUUUAACCAGGCUACUUAUCAUGCUUUCUAUAAAAUGUCUACGACGGGACAGCGAGUGUUUUUUGCAGCCAUGUUAUGACUGAGAAGCCAAAUAAAGAGGUGCAACUCUUA